CGCCUCCCCGCGGCGGUGUCACCUGCCUCAGGGGCGUCUCGCCUGCUGCUGCCCGGCUGGGAAGGACGAUGGACGCCGCUGGCGCGUGCCCGAGUACACACACAAGGAUUUGUUCCAGAUAUCCAUGAACAAGCCAGGACGAAGCCCUUUCCGGCCAAACCAUUAAGGCUGGGAAAGAAACAGUGCCUGCCCAAACUCUGGGAGCAGGAACCCGGGAGAAGACUUGAGUGGCUCUGGAAAAACUGGCAGGAAUUUCCUUGUCGUGAGAAGACCGACGAGCGUCUGCAGCAGAGACAACUACAAACAGACUUUGG
This is a long non-coding RNA of Ailuropoda melanoleuca (giant panda), 314 nucleotides long. RefSeq lists it as uncharacterized. The record is from RefSeq and is a predicted model, not a curated record. The transcript is spliced from 3 exons. NCBI's taxonomy places the organism in Eukaryota, Metazoa, Chordata, Mammalia, Carnivora, Ursidae.